AGUGAACGCUGGCGGCAGGCCUAACACAUGCAAGUCGAACGGUAGCACAGAGGAGCUUGCUCCUUGGGUGACGAGUGGCGGACGGGUGAGGAAUACAUCGGAAUCUACCCUGUCGUGGGGGAUAACGUAGGGAAACUUACGCUAAUACCGCAUACGAACUGAGGUUGAAAGCGGCGGACCGCAAGGCGUCGCGCGAUUGGAUGAGCCGAUGUCCGAUUAGCUAGUUGGCGGGGUAAUGGCCCACCAAGGCGACGAUCGGUAGCUGGUCUGAGAGGAUGAUCAGCCACACUGGAACUGAGACACGGUCCAGACUCCUACGGGAGGCAGCAGUGGGGAAUAUUGGACAAUGGGCGCAAGCCUGAUCCAGCCAUGCCGCGUGUGUGAAGAAGGCC
This 392-nucleotide ribosomal RNA is filed under the name uncultured bacterium. Its description in RNAcentral is "bacterial SSU rRNA". It matches the Rfam family "Bacterial small subunit ribosomal RNA", at positions 29 to 416 of the family's 1533-position model. The record is from RNAcentral.